This 251-nucleotide ribosomal RNA is filed under the name uncultured prokaryote. RNAcentral's name for it is "partial 16S rRNA". It matches the Rfam family "Bacterial small subunit ribosomal RNA", at positions 525 to 775 of the family's 1533-position model. The record is from RNAcentral.
ACGGAGGGUGCAAGCGUUAUUCGGAAUCAUUGGGUGUAAAGCGCGUGUAGGCGGCUUAGUAAGUCAGAUGUGAAAGCUCCGGGCUUAACUCGGAAAGUGCAUUUGAAACUGCUAGGCUUGAGUCCGGGAGAGGAAGGUGGAAUUCCCAGUGUAGAGGUGAAAUUCGUAGAUAUUGGGAGGAACACCGGUGGCGAAGGCGACCUUCUGGACCGAGACUGACGCUGAGACGCGAAAGCGUGGGGAGCAAACAG